Molecule: ribosomal RNA, 254 nt
Filed under: uncultured bacterium
Lineage: Bacteria
Description: partial 16S ribosomal RNA
Rfam family: Bacterial small subunit ribosomal RNA
Source: RNAcentral
UACAGGGGGUGCAAACGUUGCUCGGAAUUAUUGGGCGUAAAGAGCUCGUAGGCGGUGUGUCACGUCGGCCGUGAAAACCUGCAGCUUAACUGUGGGCGUGCGGUCGAUACGGGCAUCACUGGAGUUCGGCAGGGGAGACUGGAAUUCCUGGUGUAGCGGUGAAAUGCGCAGAUAUCAGGAGGAACACCAAUUGCGAAGGCAGCUCGCUGGGACGUUACUGACGCUGAGACGCGAAAGCGUGGGGAGCGAACAGG